AAUUUUUUUUUUCAAUUAGCAUCGAAUAAGAGGGAAGGAAAAUAAUGUCGAAUGAGUGUUUUCAUUUCUAACGCUAAUAGGACUACGAUUGUCAUAGUUCUAUAGAAGAUAAUGGUUUAAUAAAUUCGUGUAUAAUAAAAUAUGUGAAGUUAAAGUGGUUAAGUGCCAUAUUCUGUGAAUGUAUUUAAGUAGGUGCAUGUAUAAGUAUGUGUGUUCAUACAGUACUGUCGCUAGUAUGUACAGUGUAUGUGUCUAGCUGUCAGUCAUACUGCGCAGUGUGACUAACAGUCGCCUGUACUGUGGUGUGUUUGUUGUAUUGCAGUCGCUAGAACUGCACAGUGUUUCUGUCGGGCAGAGUGUGGUAUGUGUAUGUUUUUUUUUAUUAUAGAGAGCAAAAAAAUACUGUUAAGUAACCUCAGGUUUGGAUCAACGACAUAGUAUGUCGGUUUCUUCUUGAUAAUCCAUACCAGUUAAAAAUUCCUCUUUCUCUCUUAGUCCCUCCUUAGUAUCCCUGUUGGGUGUGUAUAUGUAUGUGUGUGACAGACGUAGUUACUUUGUAAGAAACGUAGUCACUAGUACUGCGUAGUGUGCGUGUGUUUGUAAGAAACGUAGUCACUAGUACUGCGUAGUGUGCGUGUGUUUGUAAGAAAC
Long non-coding RNA from Zerene cesonia (dogface butterfly), 651 nucleotides. RefSeq lists it as uncharacterized. The transcript is spliced from 2 exons. The record is from RefSeq and is a predicted model, not a curated record. NCBI's taxonomy places the organism in Eukaryota, Metazoa, Arthropoda, Insecta, Lepidoptera, Pieridae.